This 439-nucleotide ribosomal RNA is filed under the name uncultured bacterium. Its description in RNAcentral is "partial 16S ribosomal RNA". It matches the Rfam family "Bacterial small subunit ribosomal RNA", at positions 339 to 795 of the family's 1533-position model. The record is from RNAcentral.
CUACGGGAUGCAGCAGUGGGGGAUAUUGCACAAUGGGGGAAACCCUGAUGCAGCAACGCCGCGUGAAGGAAGACGGUUUUCGGAUUGUAAACUUCUAUCAGCAGGGAAGAAAAUGACGGUACUUAAUGAAUAAGCUCCGGCUAACUACGUGCCAGCAGCCGCGGUAAUACGUAGGGAGCGAGCGUUGUCCGGAUUUACUGGGUGUAAAGGGUGCGUAGGCGGCAUAGCAAGUCAGAUGUGAAAUGUAUGGGCUUAACCCAUGGACUGCAUUUGAAACUGCUAAGCUUGAGUGAAGUAGAGGUAGGCGGAAUUCCCUGUGUAGCGGUGAAAUGCGUAGAGAUAGGGAGGAACACCAGUGGCGAAGGCGGCCUACUGGGCUUUAACUGACGCUGAGGCACGAAAGCGUGGGUAGCAAACAGGAUUAGAUACCCUGGUAGUC